AACGGGCUAGCGGCGGCCUGACACAUGCAAGGGUCGUGCGGAGGGCUUCAGCGGCCCCAGUCGCGGUCAGACAAGGUGGGAGUAACACUUGGUGAGUAACCUGGGUCCUCGGGUCGGAUAACCACGAAAGGGUUUGGCUAAAUACCGGAUAAAGGGUCCGGGCGCAAGCUCGGUUUGAUGAUGAAAGGGCCUCUGCAUACGCGCAAGCUCCGGCCUGAGAGGGGCUCGCGGCCCAUCAGCUAGUUGGUGGGUAACGGCCCACAAGGCUAUGACCGGGUAGCCGGCCUGAGAGGGUGGUUCGGCCACACGGGUUGAGACACGGGGCCCGACUCCUACGGGAGGCAGCAGUUGGGGAAUCUUGGGCAAUGGGCGAAAGCCUGACCCAGACGCCGCGUCCGGGAAGAAGGCCUUCGGGUCGUAAACCCCUGUUCUGGCCGAAGAACCCUGGCUCCGGUUAAGAGACCCAGUCAGCGCUGACGGUACCCUCAGGAGAAAGCCACGGCUAACUGCG
RNAcentral lists this ribosomal RNA (511 nucleotides) under Thermodesulfobacterium sp. TERISRB1002. Its description in RNAcentral is "bacterial SSU rRNA". It matches the Rfam family "Bacterial small subunit ribosomal RNA", at positions 35 to 505 of the family's 1533-position model. Lineage: Bacteria; Pseudomonadati; Thermodesulfobacteriota; Thermodesulfobacteria; Thermodesulfobacteriales; Thermodesulfobacteriaceae. RNAcentral also lists the same sequence under 1 other name. The record is from RNAcentral.